CGAGAGAGCAUCACACAGCAACCACAUCCCUCCCCUACAGAAGCCCCCAGAGCACAGCACCUCACCAUGGACUGGACCUGGAGGCUCCUUCUCUUGGUGGCAGCAGCUACAGGCGCUCACUCCGAGGUCCAGCUGGUGCAGUCUGGCGCUGAGGUGAGGAAGCCUGGGGCCACCGUGAAAAUCUCCUGCAAGGCUUCUGGAUACACCUUCACCGGCUACUACCUGCACUGGGUGCGACAGGCUCCUGGAAAAGGGCUUGAGUGGAUGGGACUUGUUGAUCCUGAAGAUGGUGAAGCAAACUACGCACAGAAGUUCCAGGGCAGAGUCACCAUGACCGCGGACACGUCCACAGACACAGCCUACAUGGAGCUGAGCAGCCUGAGAUCUGAGGACACGGCUGUGUAUUACUGUGCAAGACACACAGUGUGAAAACCACAUCCUGAGAGUGUCAGAAACCCUGAGGGAGGAGGCAGCUGUGCUGGGGCUGUGAAGAUGACAGGAUUUAUGAGGUCUAAAUUAUUUAGAAGA
Rhinopithecus roxellana (golden snub-nosed monkey) is the source of this 528-nucleotide non-coding RNA. The record is from the annotation of a RefSeq genome assembly. NCBI's taxonomy places the organism in Eukaryota, Metazoa, Chordata, Mammalia, Primates, Cercopithecidae.